UACAGAAGCCUCGAGCGUUAUCCGGAAUCACUGGGUUUAAAGGGUGCGUAGGCGGCGUCAUAAGUCAGAGGUGAAAGCCUGCAGCUUAACUGUAGAAUUGCCUUUGAUACUGUGGUGCUUGAAUAAGGAUGAGGUAAGCGGAAUGUGGCAUGUAGCGGUGAAAUGCUUAGAUAUGCCAUAGAACACCGAUUGCGAAGGCAGCUUACUGGACCUUUAUUGACGCUGAGGCACGAAAGCGUGGGGAGCGAACAGG
This 253-nucleotide unclassified non-coding RNA is filed under the name uncultured Chitinophagales bacterium. Its description in RNAcentral is "contains 16S-23S intergenic spacer region". It matches the Rfam family "Bacterial small subunit ribosomal RNA", at positions 524 to 776 of the family's 1533-position model. The record is from RNAcentral. Lineage: Bacteria; Pseudomonadati; Bacteroidota; Chitinophagia; Chitinophagales.